GGCCCCGCCUGCCCAGUGACUUAGUGUUCAACGGCCGCGGUAUAACUGACCGUGCGAAGGUAGCGCAAUAACUUGUCCCUUAAAUGGGGACUGGUAUGAAUGGCAUCACGAGGGCUUAUCUGUCUCCUUUUCCCAGUCAAUGAAAUUGAUCUCCCCGUGCAAAAGCGGGGAUAAGUACAUAAGACGAGAAGACCCUGUGGAGCUUUAGACACCAAGACAGAUCUUGUAAAAUAUACCCUAUUAAAGGCUAAAACCAACUAGAUAUAAACCUGCUCUGAUGUCUUUGGUUGGGGCGACCGCGGAGAAGAGAAAAACCUCCCCGCAUGGACCGGGAGCACUAAAUUAGCCUCCUACAAUUAAGAGUCACAACUCGAAACAAAAGAACUUUCUUACCACCAUGAUCCGGAAAUAACCGAUUAAUGAACCGAGUUACCCCAGGGAUAACAGCGCAAUCCCCUUUUAGAGCCCAUAUCGACAAGGGGGUUUACGACCUCGAUGUUGGAUCAGGACAUCCUAACGGUGCAGCCGCUAUUAAGGGUUCGUUUGUUCAACGAUUAAAGUCCUACGUGAUC
This 572-nucleotide ribosomal RNA is filed under the name Onigocia pedimacula (broadband flathead). RNAcentral's name for it is "partial 16S ribosomal RNA". It matches the Rfam family "Bacterial large subunit ribosomal RNA", at positions 1851 to 2605 of the family's 2925-position model. Lineage: Eukaryota; Metazoa; Chordata; Actinopteri; Perciformes; Platycephalidae. The record is from RNAcentral.